CGGACGGGUGAGUAACGCGUGGGUAACCUGCCUUAUACAGGGGGAUAACAGUCAGAAAUGGCUGCUAAUACCGCAUAAGCGCACAGAGCUGCAUGGCUCAGUGUGAAAAACUCCGGUGGUAUAAGAUGGACCCGCGUUGGAUUAGCUAGUUGGUGGGGUAACGGCCCACCAAGGCGACGAUCCAUAGCCGGCCUGAGAGGGUGAACGGCCACAUUGGGACUGAGACACGGUCCAAACUCCUACGGGAGGCAGCAUG
RNAcentral lists this ribosomal RNA (256 nucleotides) under uncultured bacterium. RNAcentral describes it as "partial 16S ribosomal RNA". It matches the Rfam family "Bacterial small subunit ribosomal RNA", at positions 99 to 353 of the family's 1533-position model. The record is from RNAcentral.